Molecule: transfer RNA, 71 nt
Filed under: Peltigera aphthosa
Lineage: Eukaryota; Fungi; Ascomycota; Lecanoromycetes; Peltigerales; Peltigeraceae
Also listed under: 16 other names
Description: tRNA-Arg
Rfam family: tRNA
About the family: Transfer RNA (tRNA) molecules are approximately 80 nucleotides in length.
Source: RNAcentral
CUCUUAUUAGCUUAAUGGUAGAGCUAGAUACUUCUAAUAUUUAGACCUAAGUUCGAAUCUUAGAUAAGAGU